AGGACGAACGCUGGCGGCGUGCUUAACACAUGCAAGUCGAACGGUAAAAGAAGGAGAGCUUGCUCUCUGGAUCAGUGGCGAACGGGUGAGUAACACGUGAGUAACCUGCCCUUGACUCUGGGAUAAGCGUUGGAAACGACGUCUAAUACCGGAUACGAGCUUCAGUCGCAUGGCUAGGAGCUGGAAAGAAUUUCGGUCAAGGAUGGACUCGCGGCCUAUCAGCUAGUUGGUGAGGUAAUGGCUCACCAAGGCGACGACGGGUAGCCGGCCUGAGAGGGGUGACCCGGGCCC
Molecule: ribosomal RNA, 291 nt
Filed under: uncultured soil bacterium
Lineage: Bacteria
Description: partial 16S ribosomal RNA
Rfam family: Bacterial small subunit ribosomal RNA
Source: RNAcentral